Molecule: non-coding RNA, 94 nt
Organism: Acanthosepion pharaonis
Lineage: Eukaryota; Metazoa; Mollusca; Cephalopoda; Sepiida; Sepiidae
Source: the annotation of a GenBank genome assembly
GUUGAAACAGCGGUUUCCGUACGAUCAUCACCGAAGUUAAGCAGCGUUGAGCCUGGUCAGUACCUAGAUAGGUGACCGCUUAGGAAUAACGUGC